UUACCGAGUUUACAACUCCCAAACCCAAUGUGAACGUUACCAAACUGUUGCCUCGGCGGGGUCACGCCCCGGGUGCGUAAAAGCCCCGGAACCAGGCGCCCGCCGGAGGAACCAACCAAACUCUUUCUGUAGUCCCCUCGCGGACGUAUUUCUUACAGCUCUGAGCAAAAAUUCAAAAUGAAUCAAAACUUUCAACAACGGAUCUCUUGGUUCUGGCAUCGAUGAAGAACGCAGCGAAAUGCGAUAAGUAAUGUGAAUUGCAGAAUUCAGUGAAUCAUCGAAUCUUUGAACGCACAUUGCGCCCGCCAGUAUUCUGGCGGGCAUGCCUGUCCGAGCGUCAUUUCAACCCUCGAACCCCUCCGGGGGAUCGGCGUUGGGGAUCGGGACCCCUCACCGGGUGCCGGCCCUGAAAUACAGUGGCGGUCUCGCCGCAGCCUCUCCUGCGCAGUAGUUUGCACAACUCGCACCGGGAGCGCGGCGCGUCCACGUCCGUAAAACACCCAACUUUCUGAAAUGUUGACCUCGGAUCAGGUAGGAAUACCCGCUGAACUUAAGCAUAUCAAUAAGCGGAGGAAAAGAAACCAACAGGGAUUGCCCCAGUAACGGCGAGUGAAGCGGCAACAGCUCAAAUUUGAAAUCUGGCCCCUCCGGGUCCGAGUUGUAAUUUGUAGAGGAUGCUUUUGGUGAGGUGCCGCCCGAGUUCCCUGGAACGGGACGCCACAGAGGGUGAGAGCCCCGUCUGGCUGGA
This 748-nucleotide ribosomal RNA is filed under the name fungal sp. Its description in RNAcentral is "eukaryotic LSU rRNA". The stretch from base 518 to 748 matches the Rfam family "Eukaryotic large subunit ribosomal RNA", at positions 1 to 235 of the family's 3401-position model. The record is from RNAcentral. Lineage: Eukaryota; Fungi.